GAUCCCAUCCGUUAAUUAUCGGCUUCUCUCUCUCUCUCUCUCUCUCUCUCUCGUGACAGUCACAUGAGAGCUUGCAGCCAUGGCGGCAAAGAAGGCUUCAGAAUCAUUUUCGAAGGCCUUGAUUGAAGAAGUGCAGAGAUGGGGUGGGAUGAAACAGACCGGCGUCAGCUUGAGAUAUAUGAUGGAUUUUGGUUCCAAGCCAACAGCGAAGAACCUUCUGAUUUCUUCUCAGUUCCUGCACAAGGAGCUCCCCAUUCGGAUCGCCAGGCGAGCCAUCGAGCUCGAGAACUUGCCUUAUGGUCUCUCUGAGAAACCUGCUGUUUUGAAGGUGCGAGAUUGGUAUUUGGAUUCCUUUCGUGAUCUUCGAUCCUUUCCGGAGAUCAAAGAUUCAAAUGACGAGUUGUCUUUCACCCAAAUGAUUAAAAUGAUUAAAGUGAGGCAUAACAAUGUUGUGCCUGCAAUGGCUAUGGGCAUUCAGCAGCUGAAGAAAGACUUGGGCCCAAAGGUUGAGCCCGGAGAGCUCGAUGAGAUUCAUCAGUUUCUCGACCGUUUUUACAUGUCAAGAAUCGGGAUUCGCAUGCUCAUUGGCCAGCAUGUCGCUUUGCAUGAUCCCGAUCCCCAACCUGGAUGUGUAGGUCACAUACAUUGCAAGAUGUCUCCUAUGAAAGUAGCAGAAAGUGCCAGUGAGGACGCCCGCAGCAUUUGUCUACGGGAAUAUGGGAGUGCACCUGACAUUAUCACAUUUGGGGACCCCAACUUCACCUUCCCGUACGUUCCUUCACAUUUGCAUCUCAUGGUAUUUGAGUUGGUUAAGAACUCCUUGCGUGCGGUUCAAGAGCGUUUUAUGAAUUUGGAUAAGUACCCGCCUCCUAUUAGAAUCAUCGUUGCCGAUGGGAUAGAGGAUGUCACAAUAAAGAUCUCAGAUGAAGGCGGUGGUAUUCGGAGAAGCGGUCUUCCAAAGAUCUUUACAUAUCUAUACAGUACGGCCAAAAACCCACUUGACGAGCAUACGAACAUUGAAGGAACAACUGAUGGUGCAACAAUGGCUGGAUAUGGAUACGGUCUCCCAAUAAGCCGCCUCUAUGCCCGAUAUUUUGGAGGUGAUUUGCAAAUUAUCUCUAUGGAAGGAUAUGGCCUGCCAUAGAUGGACCAUAUCGGCACAAUGCUGGAUGCCACUCUUGAGGAAUUCUCAUUGAACUGAUGCAUACCUUCAUCUAUCACGAUUGGGAGAUUCGCAAGAACCAUUGCCAUGAUUCCAGCCUGCUUGUUCAUACAACAGAACUCUCAGUUUUUGAAGUUUGACAACACUACCGGUAAUAAUAUGCAGCCGAUGAACAUAGACCGUUUGGAUUUGGUGGGGCGCUUGUUUAGGCAAUUAGAGCAACUGUUCAUUCUUUAUUCCAGCCAAUUUACCAGGUUCAGAUUCAUUCAUAUGGCCUCGAAAAACCGUAGAGGUUUUCCUGUGCCGUGUGAUGCUCCCUUAUGCAUUUUGAAACUUGGGGCACCCGGUGCAGUUCUGUCUAUGCAGCUCUUGUAUGUAAGUUUGGUUUCUCAUCCCUUUGUUGAAAUACAUGUGCAGAUGCAUGUGAAUUUACAUCCUUCAUGUGUUUGAAUCUGUUGUAUGGAGUAUAGAUUAGAGAUUACAUGGA
This is an RNA transcript of Magnolia sinica, 1649 nucleotides long. It is a transcript of the gene named pyruvate dehydrogenase (acetyl-transferring) kinase, mitochondrial-like, with no coding region annotated. NCBI's taxonomy places the organism in Eukaryota, Viridiplantae, Streptophyta, Magnoliopsida, Magnoliales, Magnoliaceae. The record is from RefSeq and is a predicted model, not a curated record. The transcript has 7 exons.